GACAGAGGGUGCAAACGUUGUUCGGAAUUACUGGGCGUAAAGCGCGUGUAGGCUGCUCGGAAAGUCGGAUGUGAAAGCCCUGGGCUCAACCUAGGAAGUGCAUUCGAAACUUCCGAGCUGGAGUACUGGAGAGGAAGGCGGAAUUCUCGGUGUAGAGGUGAAAUUCGUAGAUAUCGAGAGGAACACCGGUGGCGAAGGCGGCCUUCUGGACAGUCACUGACGCUGAGACGCGAAAGCGUGGGGAGCAAACAGG
Molecule: ribosomal RNA, 253 nt
Filed under: uncultured bacterium
Lineage: Bacteria
Description: partial 16S ribosomal RNA
Rfam family: Bacterial small subunit ribosomal RNA
Source: RNAcentral